GAUGAACGCUGGCGGCGUGCUUAACACAUGCAAGUCGAACGGUAUCCAAGGGGUGCUUGCACUUUUUGGUGAGAGUGGCGAACGGGUGAGUAACACGUGAGUAACCCGUCCUUUUCUUUGGGAUAAGCAUUCGAAAGGGUGUUUAAUACCUUAUGUUCUGUCUGCCUCGCAUGGGGUGGGUGGGAAAGGCUUUGGCCGGUUUUGGGUGGGCUUGCGGGUUAUCAGCUUGUUGGUGGGGUGAUGGCUUACCAAGGCUUUGACGGGUAGCCGGCGUGAGAGGGUGGGCGGUCACGUUGGGACUCAGUUACGGCCAGGACUCCUGCGGGAGGCAGCAGUGGGGAAUAUUGGACAAUGGGCGAAAGCCUGAUGCAGCGACGCCGCGUGGGGGCUGAAGGCCUUCGGGUUGUAAACUUCUUUUGCUCUGAACAAGGCAUGACAGUGGGUGUGUUGAGGGUAGGGGUGGAUUAGCGCCGGCUAACUACGUG
This 485-nucleotide ribosomal RNA is filed under the name uncultured bacterium. RNAcentral's name for it is "partial 16S ribosomal RNA". It matches the Rfam family "Bacterial small subunit ribosomal RNA", at positions 28 to 507 of the family's 1533-position model. The record is from RNAcentral.